RNA transcript from Larimichthys crocea (large yellow croaker), 1696 nucleotides. RefSeq lists it as uncharacterized. The transcript is spliced from 3 exons. The record is from RefSeq and is a predicted model, not a curated record. Lineage: Eukaryota; Metazoa; Chordata; Actinopteri; Sciaenidae.
GUCUCCGACGUUGACAUCAGGUUUUGACAUCAAGAAUUGUUAAUGCUUCAAUUAGAACAUGAUAAGUUUAAGUUGAACGCAGAACUGCUUUUGCCGAAGGUUUCAGAGAAGGAUCCCGAGUCGUUUUUCUCAUUGUUUGAACGAGUGGCUGAAGUGCGCAAUUGGCCGGAGUCGGCGCGCACACUUAUGCUCCAGUGUGUGCUGACUGGCAGGGCGCAGGAAGCUUACGCUGCAUUAAAUGAUACUGAAAGUAAAAGUUACUCUGCUGUGAAGUCAGCGGUAUUAAGAGCUUAUGAGCUGGUUCCAGAAGCAUACAGGCAACGGUUUCGGACAUGGAAGAAAGGAGAAAAUCAGAGUCAUCUUGAGUUUGUACGAGACCUGAAUUUACAUUUCACUCGCUGGUAUUCUGCAUCGGAUGUGAACGACUUUGAAGGUUUAUGUGAACUCAUGGUGCUUGAACAGUUCAAGAGCUCUAUUCCUGUGCAAGUUGCAACAUAUAUCAGUGAACAGAAGGCAAAAAAUGCAGGUGAAGCAGCUGCCUUGGCUGACGAAUAUGUGUUGACGCAUAGACUAGAGUGUAGAGCUGCAUAUGAUAUUGGUGAAGGUGGUGCUGUCGGUGGUGUUGGAUCUUUUUCCCGGCAGGUUAAAACUUUUACAGUGGGAGGUAGACGUAAUGGUGGAUUGCGUGAACAGGUAAGAGUUUGCAACUACUGUCAUAAACAAGGACAUUGGAAGGCAGAUUGCUAUUUAUUAAAACAGAGGCCUACAAAUUCAACCUUUGAAACCCAAGUAAAAGGGGUAGGUUUGGCUGCACCUGUUCCUUUUGUCACCACUCCAGUUAAAGAUCCUGUGUUACAGACCAAAGACUGUGGGACUGCAGAUUUGGAUCCGUAUCGGCCCUUUAUUUUGAAAGGUUUUGUGUCUAUGGUAGGAAGUGCAGAAAAGGUGCCUGUGACAAUUUUACGAGACAGGCGCUUUUGACUCUUUCAUUCAGGCUGGAGUUCUGCCGUUGUCUAAGGAGUCGGAAGCUGGCAGUUCAGUUCCUGUUCGUGGGAUGGAUUUAAAUGUAUUGUUUGUUCCAUUGCACAAGGUGAUACUUGACUGUGACUUGUUUCAGGGGGAGGCUAAGUUGGCUGUGCGUCCUGUGUUGCCGAUCCAGGGCAUCUCUGUUAUCCUGGGUAACGACUUGUGAUCUGGUGGCAGAGCAGCAAGCGGAUUCCUCUCUCAAGGGGCUGAUGGAGCAGGUUCGGUCUGAGAGUGAGGUGCAGGACGGCGCUUGUGGUUAUUUUCUUCAGGACUCACUGCUGGCUCCACCCACCUCUCCAGGCUGCCUCAUGGUUUUUGGUUUUCUUUGUUCUUAUGGCACACAACAUCUUACAUCUACACAUUUUCAUUCAUGCAUACAUGCACCUUCACCACUGAUUGACUGAUUGACACACCCCAUCGUUUCUUUGGGUUUGUUUUUGGUAAAAAUGUUUGUUGUUUAGUUCUUUACAAUAAAUCAUUUCCAUUUUGGCCUUCAAUCCGUGUCUCCCUUGUGUGUUUGUCAUGGCUCUAGAGCCGGGUCGUGACAACAUCAUGUACACUGUUAUUAGUACAGACAGUUUUACUCCCUAUAAUGUAAGAGUCACAUCUAGUACCCAUAGAUUUGAUUCUGUUUUGUAUUCACAUGUUCAAGAUGGUCUGUUUGGUAAUA